UGAGUAGGUCAAAUGAUCGCAUGCGCAACGCGUAUGAGGAAAGUCCGGGCUCCGCAGGGCAGGGUGCCAGAUAACGUCUGGUGGAGGCGACUCUAAGGAUAGUGCAACAGAGAUAUACCGCCUGAUUUUUCAGGUAAGGGUGGAAAGGCGAGGUAAGAGCUCACCAGCGGCUAGGCGACUAGUCGGCUAUGUAAACCCCAUCCGGAGCAAAACCAAGAUAAGGGACUUGGGGGUGGCUGCCCGUCACCUUCCCGCUAUGGUAGGUUGCUUGAGCUUGUCGGUGACGACAAGCCUAGAUAGAUGAUCAUUCAACGACAGAACCCGGCUUAUAGACCUACUCGUUAC
Molecule: RNase P RNA, 345 nt
Filed under: Andreesenia angusta
Lineage: Bacteria; Bacillati; Bacillota; Tissierellia; Tissierellales; Gottschalkiaceae
Description: Eubacterium angustum Bacterial RNase P class A
Rfam family: Bacterial RNase P class A
About the family: Ribonuclease P (RNase P) is a ubiquitous endoribonuclease, found in archaea, bacteria and eukarya as well as chloroplasts and mitochondria. Its best characterised activity is the generation of mature 5'-ends of tRNAs by cleaving the 5'-leader elements of precursor-tRNAs.
Source: Rfam by way of RNAcentral